UGAGCCUGCCACCUGACUCUAGAACUAAUGGAAUAUAAUGUGGAUGCAAAGAUUAAAAAUAUGAACAGAAACAAAUGUGUGGCUGACAUUUUUUAUCCCCAGAAGACGUGCUGAGAGUUAAUCUCUCUUUCUCAAAGCUGGCAUUGUUCAAAUAGUUCUUUAUAAAAACGAAGAUAAUGAAAGUUCAUAACCUUUGCACAAAAAUUCCACACCUAAAUACCUGAACCUCACUUCGCCUGUUUAAUUGUUUGAUUUAAUUAUCUUGACGCAUCAAGAAGAUGCCAGCGUUAAKCAUCUUAUUUGUGCAAAUAACUAAAUUAAACUCCAACAAGCCAAACGUUGUCGAGAAAGCGAUUACCAGACAUUCCUGUGGUGAGUAACUGCAUUGAAACAAGUAUGAUUUUUGUGUGCAGGGUCAUCCGUGUGAUUUGUGGCUGUUGUGGUCAGUCAUGUCAUCAGUCAAACCUGACAUCCUACCGAGGCGACUGGUAUGUCUCACUCACACGUUGCUGCGGGACGGGCCAGUAAAAACUUGCAAGGACUCCAAACAAUCGCCACGACAUCACGUUUACUCCUUUUUGGAUUUCGUUCAAAUUAACUGAUCAAACAAGAACCAGCAGUUUGUGACUACUUUAACAUGUGCRGAGCCUGUGAGGGAAAACCAUCGACUGACAAUCAGGGAGUGAAAAGAUCUCCUCUGAUUCUGUUUUCCCCCCGAGGACCCGCAAGUUGAUCUUCACAGCAGAUCUGUAUGAAUUCCACAUUCUGUGAAUGACAUCAUGCAAAGAUUCCUCAACAUGUUGCAUCCAGCAUCAACAAGCUUUGGAUGAGGAAUUGACGCAGGUAACUGAUGCAACGCGUAGAAGCAGAUGAGCUUUGGCAACAAAUGAGAACCGUGCUGAUAAAAUGAGUCACGAGUUCAGUCCAGACAAAUAUCUGCUCCGAUGAUGACUCCUGCGGGGGACAGGAUGACAAGAGAGAGAACAAAAGAGACAGGGACUGAAUGAGCAUCAUGUCACUCACAAAGGAAAGCACCUUUAACGGAAGGAAAAGCCCCUCCUCUGUUCUUUCAGCCCGCACACCUUUUGCGGACGGCCUUUUCUCGUAGCCCACCUUAGGAAAACAUCCGUGCCCCCACACGAAGCUGAGCCGGGUGUUUCUUUCUGUCUUUAAUCUUUGUGAAAGGAGCUUUUAAAACAAGGCCGGGGAGGAUGAGUGGAUCUCAGAGCAGAACAAAAGGCGGGGAGGAACUCUGAGGGAUGGCAGCCGAGUGGAAGGCACUGUGAUUUAUCACCUGUUGCCCUCGGGUGCUCUGCCACUCCACACCCUGGGCUUUUUUUUCUUCUUUGUUUUGUUUUUGUGUGUGUAUGUGUGUCCAUGCAUGAAUGAACAUAGGAAGAAAAAGAACACAUUUAUUACUCUGUGUUAGUCAGUCCUUCACCCCACGCAAACCCACACACAAAAAAACUUUUUUACACAUGACACAAAUUUAUUUAGACAUUGAGAUAAUUUUGAAUCAAGGAAACAAGAUUAUCAGAUUUUAGAAUCUCUGGUCCAAAAAUAGAAUAAUUGUGCAAUUUCACAGAGAACAGAAACAAUAAAAAAACAUCAAUUUGUGGACUAUGUGGAGGUUAAAGUCAGUCAAUCAGUGUAGUUUGCUGCUUCUUAAAAAAAACAUUCAUUACCUUUGUCUGCCACCUUGUGGCUUAGUGUUGCUUUCACAGAUACCCACACUUUUAAACCAGUGAAAGUGAAAACAUGGCUGAUGUGUUCAGAUUUGUAGUGAUUUGUCUCUACCUUGGAUUGUUUGUCUUCAUUUUGAAACGUUCAAAGUUCAUUUUAAUUACUUUGUAGGUCUUUGUUUUUUGGCUUUUUGUUUC
Austrofundulus limnaeus is the source of this 1880-nucleotide long non-coding RNA. RefSeq lists it as uncharacterized. NCBI's taxonomy places the organism in Eukaryota, Metazoa, Chordata, Actinopteri, Cyprinodontiformes, Rivulidae. The transcript is spliced from 4 exons. The record is from RefSeq and is a predicted model, not a curated record.